Molecule: ribosomal RNA, 736 nt
Filed under: uncultured archaeon S15-7
Lineage: Archaea
Description: bacterial SSU rRNA
Rfam family: Archaeal small subunit ribosomal RNA
Source: RNAcentral
AUAACCCCGGGAAACUGGGGAUAAUUCCGGAUAACGCAUAUAUGCUGGAAUGCUUUCUGCGUAAAAUGGAUUCGUCUGCCCAAGGAUGGGUCUGCGGCCUAUCAGGUAGUAGUGGGUGUAAUGUACCUACUAGCCGACGACGGGUACGGGUUGUGAGAGCAAGAGCCCGGAGAUGGAUUCUGAGACAUGAAUCCAGGCCCUACGGGGCGCAGCAGGCGCGAAAACUUUACAAUGCGGGAAACCGUGAUAAGGGGACACCGAGUGCCAGCAUCAUAUGCUGGCUGUCCGGGUGUGUAAAAUACACCCGUUAGCAAGGGCCGGGCAAGACCGGUGCCAGCCGCCGCGGUAACACCGGCGGCCCGAGUGGUGAUCGUGAUUAUUGGGUCUAAAGGGUCCGUAGCCGGUUUGGUCAGUCCUCCGGGAAAUCUGAUAGCUCAACUAUUAGGCUUUCGGGGGAUACUGCCAGGCUUGGAACCGGGAGAGGUAAGAGGUACUACAGGGGUAGGAGUGAAAUCUUGUAAUCCCUGUGGGACCACCUGUGGCGAAGGCGUCUUACCAGAACGGGUUCGACGGUGAGGGACGAAAGCUGGGGGCACGAACCGGAUUAGAUACCCGGGUAGUCCCAGCCGUAAACGAUGCUCGCUAGGUGUCAGGCAUGGCGCGACCGUGUCUGGUGCCGCAGGGAAGCCGUGAAGCGAGCCACCUGGGAAGGACGGCCGCAAGGCUGAAACUUAAA